RNAcentral lists this non-coding RNA (236 nucleotides) under Pseudogymnoascus destructans 20631-21. Its description in RNAcentral is "Geomyces destructans 20631-21 Eukaryotic small subunit ribosomal RNA". It matches the Rfam family "Eukaryotic small subunit ribosomal RNA", at positions 33 to 595 of the family's 1831-position model. The record is from Rfam by way of RNAcentral. Lineage: Eukaryota; Fungi; Ascomycota; Leotiomycetes; Thelebolales; Thelebolaceae.
UAUAUAGAAGAUUGCCAGCAUGCAACCCUGGUCACAGUAACGGGGCUAUUUCGGUCUGAGAAGCGGCUGGAAAGCAGCAGGCGCGCAAAUUACCCAUUCCCGACACACGGAAAUAGUGAAUAAAUACUGAUACAGGGCUCUUUUGGGUCUUGUAAUUAGAACGAGUACAAUUUAAAUCCCUUAAUGAGGAACAGGGCAAGUCUAGUGCCAGUAGCUGCGGUAACUCUAGCUCUAAU